AGAAAAAUCUCAGAAGAACCUAAAGCUGAAAAUGGUGGAUAUGAGGGCUCAGAGCUGAUGAAUGUCAUGGAUGAAAUAUGUCAAAUGAUCAGUUUAUUACCAAAAAGUAGUCUACGUAGUCUUCCAGGAAUGGAUUUUCCAAAAUUGCAACGUUUGCUAGCGAAAAGAAUUCUCCUCAAGAAAAGGAGCAGUACAACAAGUAGUG
Long non-coding RNA from Lingula anatina, 205 nucleotides. NCBI's taxonomy places the organism in Eukaryota, Metazoa, Brachiopoda, Lingulata, Lingulida, Lingulidae. The record is from RefSeq and is a predicted model, not a curated record.